RNAcentral lists this ribosomal RNA (251 nucleotides) under uncultured bacterium. Its description in RNAcentral is "partial 16S ribosomal RNA". It matches the Rfam family "Bacterial small subunit ribosomal RNA", at positions 78 to 334 of the family's 1533-position model. The record is from RNAcentral.
CUUUUGCUGGCGACCGGCGCACGGGUGAGUAACACGUAUCCAACCUGCCCUUUACUCGGGGAUAGCCUUUCGAGAGAAAGAUUAAUACCCGAUAGUAUAAUGAUUCCGCAUGGCUUCAUUAUUAAAGGAUUCCGGUAAAGGAUGGGGAUGCGUUCCAUUAGGUUGUUGGUGAGGUAACGGCUCACCAAGCCUUCGAUGGAUAGGGGUUCUGAGAGGAAGGUCCCCCACAUUGGAACUGAGACACGGUCCAA